CAAAGUACAUCCUUAUGGGACACACAGUUCAAGUCUUACGUGGUUUAUUUUAAAUAUGUUUACAAACUCAGCUUUAAUCUCUAAUCACUCGUUUGAAUCAGAUUUUAAAAGUAAUAUUUGAAAGUAGGGUUCAUCAUUUCUGUUGUAGUCCUGCCAAGGAAGAGCUUGCACCUUUCUCCAAAAUUCAGCAUCCCUGCACAGCAACAGUGGACUGCUGUGAAUCAUCUUAACGCCACAGGUUCUCUGCCGUGGCCAUCUGUUGCCCGGGUUACUGCUGUCACCAAGGUGCAGGGAAGGAAAUGACAUCAUGACACCAGUGCGGCUGCCAUCCUGUUGACAAGGCCCACUGGCCAGACCAGCUUUCAGAAUCUGAUAUAGGAUUCCGAGCAGAGGCACAGUGAGAGAAUAUUUCCCCAGAGUGGCGGCUUCUCUAUACCACCAGUCAUUUCCCAGAAUAG
Long non-coding RNA from Anguilla anguilla (European eel), 458 nucleotides. RefSeq lists it as uncharacterized. The transcript has 3 exons. The record is from RefSeq and is a predicted model, not a curated record. Lineage: Eukaryota; Metazoa; Chordata; Actinopteri; Anguilliformes; Anguillidae.